UGUAAUUUGUAGAGGAUACUUUUGAUGCGGUGCCUUCCGAGUUCCCUGGAACGGGACGCCAUAGAGGGUGAGAGCCCCGUCUGGUUGGAUGCCAAAUCUCUGUAAAGUUCCUUCAACGAGUCGAGUAGUUUGGGAAUGCUGCUCUAAAUGGGAGGUAUAUGUCUUCUAAAGCUAAAUACCGGCCAGAGACCGAUAGCGCACAAGUAGAGUGAUCGAAAGAUGAAAAGCACUUUGAAAAGAGAGUUAAAAAGUACGUGAAAUUGUUGAAAGGGAAGCGUUUAUGACCAGACUUGGGCUUGGUUAAUCAUCUGGGGUUCUCCCCAGUGCACUUUUCCAGUCCAGGCCAGCAUCAGUUUUCCCCGGGGGAUAAAGGCGGCGGGAAUGUGGCUCUCUUCGGGGAGUGUUAUAGCCCACCGUGUAAUACCCUGGGGGGGACUGAGGUUCGCGCAUCUGCAAGGAUGCUGGCGUAAUGGUCAUCAACGACCCGUCUUGAA
RNAcentral lists this ribosomal RNA (494 nucleotides) under soil fungal sp. DM2-247. RNAcentral's name for it is "eukaryotic LSU rRNA". It matches the Rfam family "Eukaryotic large subunit ribosomal RNA", at positions 144 to 658 of the family's 3401-position model. The record is from RNAcentral. Lineage: Eukaryota; Fungi.